This 683-nucleotide ribosomal RNA is filed under the name uncultured bacterium. Its description in RNAcentral is "partial 16S ribosomal RNA". It matches the Rfam family "Bacterial small subunit ribosomal RNA", at positions 722 to 1406 of the family's 1533-position model. The record is from RNAcentral.
CAGCCGCCCGGUGGNNGACUGACGCUGAGGCUCGAAGGUGCGGGUAUCAAACAGGAUUAGAUACCGUGGUAGUCCGCACGGUAAACGUUGGANNNUCGCGGUUGGUUUUUAUUGAGUCAGCCGCCAAGCGAAAGUGUUAAGUAUCCCACCNGGGGAGUACGCCGGCAANNNUGAAACUCAAANNAAUUGACGGNNGCCCGCACAAGCGGAGGAACAUGUGNNUUAAUUCGAUGAUACGCGAGGAACCUUACCCGGGUUUGAAUUCGGCAGGAAGUCUCCGGAGACGGGGAUGUCCCUUCGGGGUCUGCCGGAAGGUGCUGCAUGGUUGUCGUCAGCUCGUGCCGUGAGGUGUCGGCUUAAGUGCCAUAACGAGCGCAACCCUCGCCUACGGUUGCCAUCGGGUGAUGCCGGGCACUCCGUGGGGACUGCCCCCGCAANNNGCGAGGAAGGGGGGGAUGACGUCAAAUCAGCACGGCCCUUACGUCCGGGGCUACACACGUGUUACAAUGGGUGGUACAGCGGGCAGCGCGGCGGCGACGCCAAGCGAAUCCCGAAAGCCACCCCCAGUUCGGACUGGAGUCUGCAACCCGACUCCACGAAGCCGGAUUCGCUAGUAAUCGCGCAUCAGCCAUGGCGCGGUGGAUACGUUCCCGGGCCUUGUACACACCGCCCGUCAAGCCAUG